AGAACCUGAAACCUCGUGUUUACAAGCACCGAAAGUUCAUCAACGAACGAUCGGGUACCUUUUGUAGAAUGGUCCGGCGAGUGAAUGUAACUGGCAAGGUUAAGCACUUAAGGUGUGAAGCCGUAGCGAGAGCGAGUCUGAAAAGGGCGUAUGAAGUCAGUUGUAUUCGACCCGAAACCGGGUGACCUACCCAUGUCCAGGCUGAAGUGCAGGUAAAACUUCAUGGAGGGCCGAACCGACUCCCUUUGAAAUGGUAGCGGAUGAGGUGUGGGUAGCGGAGAAAUUCCAAUCGAACCCGGAGAUAGCUGGUUCUCUCCGAAAUAGCUUUAGGGCUAGCCUUGGAAUAGAUUACUGGAGGUAAAGCACUGAAUUGGCUAGGGGCCGAGAGGUUACUGAACCUUAUCAAACUAAGAAUGCCAGAUAAUCGUUUUCCAGGAGUCAGACAGUGGGAGAUAAGUUUCAUUGUCAAAAGGGAAACAGCCCAGACCUACAGCUAAGGUCCCAAAGUAUAGUUAAGUGGAAAAGGAUGUGGAAUUGCAUAGACAACCAGGAUGUUGGCUUAGAAGCAGCCACUCAUUAAAAGAGUGCGUAAUAGCUCACUGGUCGAGUGAUUCUGCGCCGAAAAUUUAACGGGGCUAAACUAUACACCGAAGCUUAGGAUACCGCAAGGUAUGGUAGGAGAGCGUUCUGUACGGAGCGAAGUCGUAGCGAAAGCGGCGGUGGACUGUACAGAAGUGAGAAUGCCGGAAUAAGUAGCGAGAAUUAAGUGAGAAUCUUAAUGGCCGAAAGUCUAAGGUUUUUGGAGGAAGGUUCGUCCGCUCCAAGUAAGUCGGGAGCUAAGGUCAGGCCGAAAGGCGUAGCCGAUGCACAAACGGUUGAUAUUCCGUUACCGUCUACAAUUUAAACAAGGGGACACAUACAAAGCGUUUAACCCGGGCGAUGGUUGACCUGGGCGCAAGGGACUGAAAUAAGAGUAGGGAAGUAAAUGUGGCGUAUGGCGAGAAAAGCCUUGUGUAUAGAAGUAGACGCCCGUACCGCAAACCGACACAGGUGGACAGGAAGAGAAUUCUAAGGCCAGCGGGAGAAGGGUAGUUAAGGAACUCGGCAAAUUGACUCCGUAACUUCGGAAUAAGGAGUGCUCGAAAGAGCCGCAGAGAAUAGGCCCAGGCGACUGUUUAGCAAAAACACAGGUCUCUGCCAAAUCGAAAGAUGAAGUAUAGGGGCUGACACCUGCCCGGUGCCGGAAGGUUAAGAGGAGGAGUGCAAGCUCCGAAUUGAAGCCCCGGUAAACGGCGGCCGUAACUAUAACGGUCCUAAGGUAGCGAAAUUCCUUGUCGGGUAAGUUCCGACCCGCACGAAUGGUGUAACGAUCUGGGCACUGUCUCAACUACCCACCCGGCGAAAUUGUAGUACCGGUGAAGAUGCCGGUUACCUGCGGCAAGACGGAAAGACCCCAUGGAGCUUUACUGUAGCCUGAUAUUGGGU
This 1485-nucleotide ribosomal RNA is filed under the name metagenome. Its description in RNAcentral is "bacterial LSU rRNA". It matches the Rfam family "Bacterial large subunit ribosomal RNA", at positions 545 to 2122 of the family's 2925-position model. The record is from RNAcentral.